Long non-coding RNA from Carassius auratus (goldfish), 4018 nucleotides. RefSeq lists it as uncharacterized. NCBI's taxonomy places the organism in Eukaryota, Metazoa, Chordata, Actinopteri, Cypriniformes, Cyprinidae. The transcript has 4 exons. The record is from RefSeq and is a predicted model, not a curated record.
AUAUAAAAAGUGUGUUCAUAACAAUGCCAGCAUUUGGCACCCGUACUGACAGAUGAUACUGAUAGGUGAACGUGUGUGUCUAACAUAAACUGAUGCAAAUGUCCACUGCCUUAGAGAGUAUCAGAAAAAAAUUCGACAGUGUAAGAACUUUUUUUUUUUUUUUUUUUGGAUCAAAGAGCUCCCAACAUCUAAAAUGUACCCGGAAGUGUCCGGCAGCGCCUCCGGUGGCGGAAGUGUAUCAUCGCUUCUCUCCGAGCGGCGCUCAAGCUGCAUGCAGGUACCGCUUGACAGUAUUCCUGCUAUUAUACGGAGUUUGUGUUAACAGUAUCCAUAGUAAAAGAUAUCUUAUGUCGGUUUAUUACACUGGCUUUGUAUACACUGUGCUGCCUUCUACUGUCAUGUUAAAGUAGUGUCUAUGACCGAGUUCAGAGCAGAUAACGUGCACAUGAUAACGUAACAUUAAUAUUUUCAAUUGAAACACGAAUCUCUUGGUUUUACAGUUCAACUAUCGUAAUGGGCUGCUGUUUUUGUUAGUUAGGCAUGGGGUUGACAAACGUUAGCGGUUUUUUUUUUUUUUUUUUUUUUUUUUUUUUGCUGAAUUUAGCUUAUGUUCUGUGUGUAAGCAGUCGUUGGAAAUUCCUGUUCCUUUAGAUAUCAUUCGAUAGAAACCUACGACCACUGGUGAAAAUAUAAAUCUCACUGGCUGAGAUCAUGAAUAUUAACAAAGGCCAUAAUGACGUUGCACGGCUGUUAAUCUGGAACAUCCAAUCACAUACCCUAAUUAAUAUUCAUAAGCAUAGGCAUUUUUUUUAGCGUCGGUCUUUCAGCCAAUUAGGAUGGAUUGGUGGGUUUACGUCACUCGAUCUAAUGAAUAUUAUAUUUAGAUCCAUUACUGAAUUUGGCAAAGGCACGGCCGGAUGUCAUCCAUCAAUCCAGUCCCACGUGAACAGCCUCACAAAACCAAACCAGCUCUGCGGGUUAAAUGUUGUAAUAAACAAAUAUGUCAUUUCAGCUUUAAACAAUUCAUUUAAUAGCUUUGGAGCAUUAUGUAAUAUAGAGGGCAGAUCCAGUUUUAUCUGUCUAAUGACGCAUAUUUCUAAAAAGGCGAAAGUUCAAGCCUGAUUAUUAGGCCUAACUGUGUUUUAUGUGAACAGGGCAGCUCUGGAAGCUGUUUAUCGGUGGACUCAGUUUUGAGACCAUCAGAUCACAGUCAAGUUUUGCUUUAUAACUAAUUGUAUUCACUUUGCUAUGUGUCUGCAUCAGGAACAGACAGCUAGAAGCCAUCCUUAAUAUUAGUAAUAAUAAUAAUUGAUACAUGUCAAUAUGGUUCAGAAAGCAUCAGAGUAUUCUGUGAAGCAUUUUUGAGUGUCACACAGUUAAAAACAGCACAGAGCAUCCAUUGUGAGCAAGUGAAGCAAUGCUACAUGAUUACAAAUCUGUUCUGAUGAAGUUACAAACUCGUCUACAUCUUGGAUGGUCUGAGGAUGAGCACAUUUUUCAGUUUUAUUUCUGGGUUACUGUACCUUAAUUAUGACCUCUGAACGUCUGUAAAUCAGCCAAUCAGAAUCAAUCAGUCAAACAGUCCUGUGGCGUAAUAUUUAAUGCAUAUAGAAACAGCAGCAGUAAAACACUUUGGUCGAUGAUACUAUCAGUGAUCAUCUUUCCUCAGGUAAUGAGAAAUCCAGCUAACAUGCACUCACAAGGUUUAAGCUUUGUGGUGUAUUCAUGUUCAGUCCUAUGGAAGCCCAUUUCCACCAUGGAGUUUAUUACAGCUUCUUAUAUCAGAACCCUGACCCACAAUUAUGAGUUUAUGUCUCACAAUUUUGAGUGUUUUUUGUGAUGUAUCAUGCACAAGUUUUGUGUCCAUGAUGUUAUGUUAGAACACCAAAAAAUACUUGUUUUUACAGGUUUUAUUCAGCAGCUGAGCAAACAGAUUUGUGUUUUGCUUUAAAAAAAAAUAAAACUUUUCCUUUUUCAUCAGCACAAAAAUAUCACACAAUCAACCCACAUAACUGUGGAGUAAGAAAAGCACUUCCAAAGCAGGAGAUGCAAGCUGUUUCUAAUCAGAGAUAUGGAGGCGGAGGCAGUCUCAUGUGCAGAGGAGGAAACUUUGGCUGAGGAGAGACAAAUGACAGUUUCAUGGUGUCAUAAGACUGGAAAUGUCCGAACAAAAGAAGCAUUCAGUUAAUGGCAACGGGAAACCAGAGGCGGAUAUUAAAACUGCAAAGUUUCCUGAUAAAGAAGCGAUUAUUUUUCACACCUGUCUCACUUCCUGUUCCUCUACUGUCGGCGGGAAUGUGGAAUAUACCAUUGGAGGAACAAGAGAACUCCUUGUUCUCUAUUUUAGUUUUUUUCACAGCACGGUUGAGGAAGGUACAGCACGUAAUCAGUGUCAAAACCGGUUCACCACACCCUCUCAAUGAAAUAUUAUCACAAGCAUCAAACUACUUUCCGUUUCUCUUAGUACUGAUUUAAUUAUAGUUCCCUUCGACAUAUUUAAAUGUGUACUUUGGGCAUCAGCACACACGUUUAAGUUUUAGGAGAACUUAAUAAUUUUCAUUAAUAACACUGACAAACUUGAUCACGUUAUACACCGCUAAACAGUAAUUACACAAUAAUUAAUUCAGUGUCACAUCACUUUAAAGCAUUUCUUACAUCUGUUUUCUAAACUCUGAUCUAACACAAUUAACCUAAAGCUGUUCUGUGUCUCUGUUUGAAGUGGAGAUCUUGACCUGUUCCACCUCACAAUACAAUAAGGUAAAAAGCAUAUUUAUUUUAAUGUACUUUAUGAGACAUUAAGUUUAUAAACGACAAGGCCCUGCUAAGUGACACCCUAAUUUAGGCCGAACUUGGAAAUCUGUUACCCAUUCUGGUGUUUGUGUGUAUCUGUGUGUGUGUGUGUGUGCUUAUUAUUUCGGGGGUUUGUUAUUUUUAUUUAUUUCAGAUUUUGGAUGUUUUGUUUCAUAUUUCAAAUACAAGCAUGGAAAAACCCCUUCAAGAGAUAUAAAACCAAGAGAAAAUAAAAUAGCUUGUAUAAAGUUAUAGUUUAGUUUAGUUUGCCCUUCUGUGAUUAACAAUCAAUAUUUUCUGAAGGUCAAGUGCCUCCAGGUUUCGUACCCUAUUCAAGUGUCCCAUUAAUGAAAAUUACCAUAAAUCUUUGAUUCAUAUAUUUUCAUGCAUUCACUUCUAAAUGUGAUCUCUUAAGCACCGUGUAAUAAAUGUCAAUAACUAAACAAUGUAAGUUUUUUUUAUCUCCUUCUGUCAGUUAGGUAUAAAGAAACACAUUAUUUGUGAUAGAGACUGAUAACGUGAAUUUGAGGAUCGCUUCUUUACGUCAGGACACAAGGGUAAAAGUAAACAGCCACAUUCCAGACUGGAGCCGCCUGCUCUUAUGCAAGUGAGUGCGCAUGCGCAGAGAGCUAACGCGCAGAUCACACGCACGAGCACAUCAAAGCGCACCGACGCGCGCGUCUCACGACAGAAGUUCACCGCGCGGCAGCUUCGCAUCGCGCUACUAACCACUCAACACUGCGAUGAUUUAGAUUUACACGUAUUUAGAUACUUCUUCCUUCCUUUCGUUCUUAGGACGGCCCAAGUUCAAUGACUAUGCAGAAUUUGGGCUGAGAAGGAGAGUCGCGAGAAUACGGGACAAGAGGAAGCGCCUCCUAUAACACAGAAUAUACAUGAAAUAAACUACAGCCAAUAGUUAUAGGAAGAAACAAAACAUCGUCGAUGAUUAUCAUCUUGAAACUUUAAAAUUAGAAACACUACAAAAAAGUCAGAGUGGAGUUUAUAAGGAGGCAGUGAUCUGGGGACACAUUUAUGACGCGAGCAAUAAUCACAUCUGAAUAACCUCACAUGCCCUACAAUAUACCGGUUCAAAGGGCAAAAUGAUGUAACAUCUUAGUAAUAUUAGCAGAAGAAACAAAACUCUUUUUUUCUUUCAUUUUAGUAUCGUUUUAAUACUAGUCAACAAACUAGACGUUAUUAUAACACUAGUGACGCAAUUAUUAUUAAA